RNAcentral lists this unclassified non-coding RNA (254 nucleotides) under Patescibacteria group bacterium. RNAcentral describes it as "contains 16S-23S intergenic spacer region". It matches the Rfam family "Bacterial small subunit ribosomal RNA", at positions 524 to 776 of the family's 1533-position model. The record is from RNAcentral.
UACGUAGGGUCCAAGCGUUAUCCGGAAUUACUGGACGUAAAGCGUGCGUAGGUGGGAGUUCAAGUGAGAUGCGAAAUCUUGCGGCUCAACCGUAUAGACUGUGUCUCAUACUGGGCACCUAGAGGAUGGCAGAGGCAAGUGGAAUUACCGGUGUAGCAGUGAAAUGCGUAGAUAUCGGUAGGAACACCAAUGGCGAAGGCAGCUUGCUGGGCCACACCUGACACUGAGGUACGAAAGCGUGGGGAGCGAACAGG